RNAcentral lists this transfer RNA (91 nucleotides) under Oceanirhabdus sp. W0125-5. RNAcentral describes it as "tRNA-Ser". It matches the Rfam family "tRNA". From Rfam's summary of the family: Transfer RNA (tRNA) molecules are approximately 80 nucleotides in length. Lineage: Bacteria; Bacillati; Bacillota; Clostridia; Eubacteriales; Clostridiaceae. The record is from RNAcentral.
GGAGAAGUACUCAAGUGGCUGAAGAGGCUCCCCUGCUAAGGGAGUAGGGCGCGGAAGCGUCGCGCGGGUUCAAAUCCCGCCUUCUCCGCCA